This is a long non-coding RNA of Lathyrus oleraceus (garden pea), 1380 nucleotides long. RefSeq lists it as uncharacterized. The record is from RefSeq and is a predicted model, not a curated record. The transcript has 2 exons. NCBI's taxonomy places the organism in Eukaryota, Viridiplantae, Streptophyta, Magnoliopsida, Fabales, Fabaceae.
CAGACCCAUUCAGUGGGGGUGUACUGGAUUCGGAGGUGGUGUAUGGUCACUCCUAAGACUCCAGGCCUUGACCACCCAAGGCCCAAACCGAACCAAGGGAAACCUGCUCCCAAAUUCUCUUCCUGUUAAGCGAAACACAGAAGCCACCGUGAAAACGUGCUUCCAUUUCCCUAGCUUCCGCCGUCGAGGCUCGCUUAAGCCAAAUCCAAAGGAAAACAAGACACGGCGAGUGCUUGAUAGACGGCUCUUUCGUCACGAUUUCGCUCGCCUUUCCUUCAUCUUCGCAAUAGGAUUUGCUCAUGAACUUCUUCACCUUCGUCACAAGAUCGUUAACGUCCGUUUUCAUCGGACAAUUCUCCACAUCUUGAAAUCCGUCCGUACACGUUUCUUCAUCGGUAAGCGCCACGCUCAUCCAUAUCUCGCGACGGUUCAAUAACAUUCAACAGAUGAUUCGUUCGUUAAUCAGUUACCGGAUUCAAAGUUCAUAGCAUCAAAUUCGACUCGAUCUGUUAUCGUGUGAACGAUCCGGAACAAAAAUGAAAUAGCAAGCAACUUGAAGACUCACCGAAUUGAAUAGUGGAGGACGAAUUGGAGACUAUUUCAUUUAUCAAAGAUUGGAAGAUGAAGGUUGAAGAUGGUUCGGUGAACGGAGAUUACGGUUACGGUUACGGAUUCCCAAUGGUUGAAGGUUUGGCCAAUGGAGAUUACGGUUACGGUUACGGAUUCGCAAUGGUUGAAGAAUUGAGGUUGAAGGAAUGGAAAUUACGGUUAUGGAGGUUGUAAGAGGGUUUUGGUUGAAGAAUUGAGGUUGAAGAAGAAGCUGGAAGAAAAAAAACUUGAGAUAGGUGAAGAUUGAUGAAUUUAUAGAGUGAUGGAGAGUGAGAUUAGAAGUUUGUUUUUUCUGUUAUUCAAUUUCUUUUGCCGCUCGUCAUGCAGGUUUUGGUAUUGGCUCGGCUGGUGUGUUGCACUUCAAUUUUGUGGCCUGUGUUUGGCUCGAAGCUUUGGAAUUAUGCAGCUUUUUGAAGCUUGCUGUUUGGCUCACCUUGCCGUCUUUAAAAAUAUGUUAAGCUGUUGUUGAAGCUUGUGGCUUGAAUCAUUGUUCUAGCUUGGUGGCUCGUCGUUUUGCACCGCUUCAGGCUUGGUUUGGUGCCAUUUUGCGCUCUGCAGGUCGGAGCUUGUUGUUAUUUUGUUGCAGCUUUUGGAAGCGUGUUGCCGCUUACCGUAGCCUGUACUGCAACUUUAGAAGCUUGUAGCUCACCUCCUUAUCAUUCUUCUUUUUAUUACUUAAUGAAAAAAAAGGUUAUGAAUUAUAUUGUAGAAAUGGAUAAUGGAUUGUAAAUGGAUAAUAUGGAUUGAAUUAUUAGAAAAUGAAUUUGGAUA